UACGUAGGCAGCAAGCGUUGUUCGGAGUUACUGGGCGUAAAGGGUGUGUAGGCGGUUCUUUAAGUUUGGGGUGAAAUCUCCCGGCUCAACCGGGAGGGUGCGCCGAAUACUGAGGGACUAGAGUGUGGGAGAGGAAAGUGGAAUUCCUGGUGUAGCGGUGAAAUGCGUAGAUAUCAGGAGGAACACCGGUGGUGUAGACGGCUUUCUGGACCAUAACUGACGCUGAGACACGAAAGCGUGGGUAGCAAACAGG
Molecule: ribosomal RNA, 253 nt
Filed under: uncultured bacterium
Lineage: Bacteria
Description: partial 16S ribosomal RNA
Rfam family: Bacterial small subunit ribosomal RNA
Source: RNAcentral